GGAUGCGAUCAUACCAGCACUAAAGCACCGGAUCCCAUCAGAACUCUGAAGUUAAGCCUGCUUGGGCGAGAGUAGUACUAGGAUGGGUGACCUCCUGGGAAGUCCUCGUGUUGCAUUCC
RNAcentral lists this ribosomal RNA (119 nucleotides) under Triticum aestivum (bread wheat). The record is from RNAcentral. Lineage: Eukaryota; Viridiplantae; Streptophyta; Magnoliopsida; Poales; Poaceae. RNAcentral also lists the same sequence under 2 other names.